UGGGGAAUAUUGGACAAUGGGCGAAAGCCUGAUCCAGCCAUGCCGCGUGUGUGAAGAAGGUCUUCGGAUUGUAAAGCACUUUAAGUUGGGAGGAAGGGCAUUAACCUAAUACGUUAGUGUUUUGACGUUACCGACAGAAUAAGCACCGGCUAACUCAGUGCCAGCAGCCGCGGUAAUACAGAGGGUGCAAGCGUUAAUCGGAAUUACUGGGCGUAAAGCGCGCGUAGGUGGUUUGUUAAGUUGGAUGUGAAAUCCCCGGGCUCAACCUGGGAACUGCAUUCAAAACUGACUGACUAGAGUAUGGUAGAGGGUGGUGGAAUUUCCUGUUUAGCGGUGAAAUGCGUAGAUAUAGGAAGGAACACCAGUGGCGAAGGCGACCACCUGGACUAAUACUGACACUGAGGUGCGAAAGCGUGGGGAGCAAACA
This 427-nucleotide ribosomal RNA is filed under the name uncultured bacterium. Its description in RNAcentral is "partial 16S ribosomal RNA". It matches the Rfam family "Bacterial small subunit ribosomal RNA", at positions 355 to 774 of the family's 1533-position model. The record is from RNAcentral.